This is a long non-coding RNA of Paramormyrops kingsleyae, 611 nucleotides long. RefSeq lists it as uncharacterized. NCBI's taxonomy places the organism in Eukaryota, Metazoa, Chordata, Actinopteri, Osteoglossiformes, Mormyridae. The record is from RefSeq and is a predicted model, not a curated record.
GUCACACCGCUUACUCACAUUCACAAGCCUGUGAAAUAUGACAUGACAGCCAAGAUCUAUUUCUUUAUGUUUAUACUGCAGGAUAUGUAGAUACGAUGCAAAGGAAAGCCUGAAAUGGCGAAGGCCACACUGAUCUCCCGCGUGAGCCUGGUGGGCUUUAGCGCCGGACCACUCAGCGUUUGGCUCCAUCGGCCCAGUCCACGAAGGGGUCUUAAACCGCGUGACGACCCCUGGAACCACCUGCCGUCCCACCGCCCCGUCUCCAGCAGCAGCCCUGCAGCCCCUCGCACCCAGCCGAAGAGGCGUCCUUUUUUAUUCUCCAGGCUGACGGGAUAAGCAGUACGAAGACAGAUGGACUGUAAUUACCAUUAACAACGAAAAUAAAAUUUUAUGGAACAGCUAAUAGCUAAUUAAUUAGCUAUUAAGACUCUUCAGUAUUUAAUGGUAUUUUCAGAAGCAGAUUCCAGUUGGACAGAUCACUGUGCUCUCUUUUAUUCUUGCCGAAAUGUGGAAACCCUACCCAACUGGAGAGUUAGUAGCUGGCGAGGGCGGCCUGAGAAGUGGCAAACAAAGGGGACACAUUUUAAUUGAACUACGGGCCAAAUUGCCAG